Molecule: non-coding RNA, 97 nt
Filed under: Bacillus sp. 491mf
Lineage: Bacteria; Bacillati; Bacillota; Bacilli; Caryophanales; Bacillaceae
Source: RNAcentral
GCGAGCCGUAUACAGUGAAAGCUGUACGUACGGUUCUGAGGGGGGGACUGUGAGACCUAUUUGGGUAACUAAAUAAGGCGCACGCUCCCUACCCUAC